RNAcentral lists this transfer RNA (93 nucleotides) under Ruminococcus sp. Its description in RNAcentral is "tRNA-Ser". It matches the Rfam family "tRNA". Rfam says of the family: Transfer RNA (tRNA) molecules are approximately 80 nucleotides in length. Their secondary structure includes four short double-helical elements and three loops (D, anti-codon, and T loops). The record is from RNAcentral. Lineage: Bacteria; Bacillati; Bacillota; Clostridia; Eubacteriales; Oscillospiraceae. RNAcentral also lists the same sequence under 1 other name.
GCAGAGAUGUCCGAGCUGGCCGAAGGAGCACGAUUGGAAAUCGUGUGUACGGCUAAAACCGUACCAAGGGUUCGAAUCCCUUUCUCUGCGCCA